Molecule: non-coding RNA, 100 nt
Filed under: Kocuria sp.
Lineage: Bacteria; Bacillati; Actinomycetota; Actinomycetes; Micrococcales; Micrococcaceae
Description: Glycine sequence
Rfam family: Glycine riboswitch aptamer
About the family: This family represents the bacterial glycine riboswitch. Glycine riboswitches usually consist of two metabolite-binding aptamers domains with similar structures in tandem.
Source: RNAcentral
CGACGCGCAGCGGGAGAGACCCGCUCGGCCACACCGAUCGGGCGCCGUAGGAGCAAUUCCUCCCCGGGAAACUCUCAGGCCCAAGCACCGCCGCGCCGAG